RNAcentral lists this transfer RNA (73 nucleotides) under Paramuricea clavata. It matches the Rfam family "tRNA". From Rfam's summary of the family: Transfer RNA (tRNA) molecules are approximately 80 nucleotides in length. Their secondary structure includes four short double-helical elements and three loops (D, anti-codon, and T loops). The record is from Rfam by way of RNAcentral. Lineage: Eukaryota; Metazoa; Cnidaria; Anthozoa; Malacalcyonacea; Plexauridae.
GACCACGUAGCUCAGUUGGAUGAGCAUUGGGCUAGUAUUCCAAAGGUCGUAGGUUCGAAUCCCGCCGUGGCCG